UGAACCUGCGGAGGGAUCAUUAAACGAAACAAACCCUCUCGGCGCGCUCCGGCGCGUGGGGAGGGCCAGUCUCAAACCCUUUGUUGUCCGACUAUGUUGCCUCGGGGGAGACCCUGCCCUUCGCGGGCGGGUGGCACCCCGGUGGACCGAAUCAAACUCUUGCGUAACUUUGUCGUCCGAGUCGAUUUUAAAGAAUAAAUCAAAACUUUCAACAACGGAUCUCUUGGUUCUGGCAUCGAUGAAGAACGCAGCGAAAUGCGAUAAGUAAUGUGAAUUGCAGAAUUCAGUGAAUCAUCGAAUCUUUGAACGCACAUUGCGCCCCGUGGUAUUCCGCGGGGCAUGCCUGUUCGAGCGUCAUUACACCACUCAAGCCUCGCUUGGUAUUGGGCGACGCGGUACGCCGCGCGCCUCAAAUCUCCCGGCUGGGUCAGGAUCGUCCCUCAGCGUUGUGGAAACUAUUCGCUAGAGGCGCUCGCUCCGGUCCCGCCGUUAAACAAGACCAAUUUCAUUAAAGGUUGACCUCGGAUCAGGUAGGGAUACCCG
RNAcentral lists this ribosomal RNA (543 nucleotides) under Mycosphaerella sp. MUCC215. RNAcentral's name for it is "eukaryotic LSU rRNA". The stretch from base 204 to 357 matches the Rfam family "5.8S ribosomal RNA". The record is from RNAcentral. Lineage: Eukaryota; Fungi; Ascomycota; Dothideomycetes; Mycosphaerellales; Mycosphaerellaceae.